Molecule: ribosomal RNA, 497 nt
Filed under: uncultured bacterium
Lineage: Bacteria
Description: partial 16S ribosomal RNA
Rfam family: Bacterial small subunit ribosomal RNA
Source: RNAcentral
GAUGAACGCUGGCGGCGUGCCUAAUACAUGCAAGUCGAGCGAACAGACGAGGAGCUUGCUCCUUUGACGUUAGCGGCGGACGGGUGAGUAACACGUGGGUAACCUACCUAUAAGACUGGGAUAACUUCGGGAAACCGGAGCUAAUACCGGAUAAUAUUUCGAACCGCAUGGUUCGAUAGUGAAAGAUGGCUUUGCUAUCACUUAUAGAUGGACCUGCGCCGUAUUAGCUAGUUGGUAAGGUAACGGCUUACCAAGGCAACGAUACGUAGCCGACCUGAGAGGGUGAUCGGCCACACUGGAACUGAGACACGGUCCAGACUCCUACGGGAGGCAGCAGUAGGGAAUCUUCCGCAAUGGGCGAGAGCCUGACGGAGCAACGCCGCGUGAGUGAUGAAGGUCUUCGGAUCGUAAAACUCUGUUAUUAGGGAAGAAUAAACGUGUAAGUAACUGUGCACGUCUUGACGGUACCUAAUCAGAAAGCCACGGCUAACUACGUG